This 521-nucleotide ribosomal RNA is filed under the name uncultured bacterium. RNAcentral's name for it is "bacterial SSU rRNA". It matches the Rfam family "Archaeal small subunit ribosomal RNA", at positions 345 to 866 of the family's 1478-position model. The record is from RNAcentral.
AACCUCCGCAAUGUGAGAAAUCGCGACGGGGGGAUCCCAAGUGCCAUUCUUAACGGGAUGGCUUUUCAUUAGUGUAAAGAGCUUUUUGGAAUAAGGGCUGGGCAAGACCGGUGCCAGCCGCCGCGGUAACACCGGCAGCUCUAGUGGUAGCAGUUUUUAUUGGGCCUAAAGCGUCCGUAGCCGGUUUAAUAAGUCUCUGGUGAAAUCCUGUAGCUUAACUGUGGGAAUUGCUGGAGAUACUAUUAGACUUGAGACCGGGAGAGGUUAGAGGUACUCCCAGGGUAGAGGUGAAAUUCUGUAAUCCUGGGAGGACCGCCUGUUGCGAAGGCGUCUAACUGGAACGGUUCUGACGGUGAGGGACGAAAGUUAGGGGCGCGAACCGGAUUAGAUACCCGGGUAGUCCUAACUGUAAACGAUGCGGACUUGGUGUUGGGGUGGUUUUGAGCUGCUCCAGUGCCGAAGGGAAGCUGUUAAGUCCGCCGCCUGGGAGUACGGUCGCAAGACUGAAACUUAAAGGAAGU